AGGCCAGAAAGCUGUGACCAUAGAGGGAGUGGUGGUAUGUGUCAGUGGAGGUUUGGCUGAACAUCAGCUGAAGACAGAGAAGAUGCAGGCGAAGUGGCAGAACAUUAUAAUGAUGGCGAAAGUGGUACUGGGUACUUAGCAUGGAGAAUCAAAACUAUACAAAGAGGCUUAGCUAAAGAACGAUGUGCAUCAUGUAUGAAGGAAAAGGAACGUCAGCUUUUUGCAGAAGCGGGGUCUGGUGGACCAACUAUAAGAGGCAAUCAGAGCUUAAUACAGAGACCAUCUUGAGUGAGGAUGAAUGCAAGGAAGCAAUUGCAUUCAUGAGCCAUUCUUCUAAUGAGGACGCCAUCAAGAAGAAACUAAAACAUUCGACUUUCACUGCAACAUGGUUCUUGAUCCCAUGCAGUCAAGUGAUAUAUUGACAGUCUUCCCACGAUUCAAAGACAUUAAAAGCUUGAUUGAGCAAAAAUUUGUUGGAGACAAGUUUGGAGAAGUGUCAGACAAGCUACUGGAGAAAUGGACCACUGCAUUCAAGAGAAAAAUGAUUCAGCAGUGCAAAAAGCUUCCAAGCACCAGUGAUUUGGAAGAACUACUACUAGCAGCUGAAUAUCCUACUGGUGACUCAGAAUAGGGUGUUAAUUUGGUUAAGUUGUAAUAUAAAUAUUAAUAAUAUAAAUAUUAUUGAACAAAUUAUCUAAGGAACACUAAGUUCACUUCCAGAACAGAAAUUUACAGAUAAUGUACUCACCCCUUUUCAAGAUGUUCAUGUCUUUCUUUCUUCAGUUGUAACGAAAUAGUGUUUUUGAGAAAAAAAUUUCAGAAUAUUUGGCCAUAUAGUGGACUUCUAUGCAGUUUAAUGGCAGCUUCAAAGGGCUCUAAACGAUCCCAGCCGAGGAAGAAGGGUCUUUUAUCUAGCGAAACGAUCUGUUAUUUUCUUAAAGAUUUGACAAUUUAUUUACUUUUUAACCUCUAUGCUAGACAAGAUGAGCAUUUGAAGUCCACUAUAUGGCCAAAAAUCAGAAAUGUUUUUCUCGAAAAACAAUUUCUUUAUGACUGAAGAAAGAAAGACAAGAACAUCUUGGAUGACAAGGGGGUGAGUAACUUAUCUGUAAAUAAUUUUGUUCUGGAUGUGAACGUCUCCUUUAAGGGUAAAAUAUUUAGUCCCCAUACAUUUUUAAUGUCCUUUAUGUGUUUAUACCGGUUGGUAUAGUGACCUCUCGUCUAUAAUACUUCUGUUGCAUCUUAUCACACCUUCUGCCCAAGGCCAGAAAAGACCAGGAAAGGUGUCUGCCUGUCAAGCAGAGAAGCACCUUGUUGUCUUCAAGAAUGUUUGUAUGUUUGUCUGUUUGUUAGUUUUUUUCUGUUUUACAUUUAACAUAUCGGUGAUGGGUUUCUUUAAUUUGCUUGGUUUUCUCAGAGUGGAAGAAACAUUGAGGAGCAUUUUCUAGAAAUCACAGCUACUAGCUGUUGGAUCUCAGAAGAAUUACGUUACGUUACGUUUUUCUGCCCUCAGUGUUUUUUUUUUCUUUGUCAGGCUGAGUUACUUGGUUCAAAAUUGCUUAUUAGGCACUUCAGAUUAGUUCAUGGUUUGUUCCUGGAAAGAGUCUUCACCUUAAAUGUGUAGAGGCAGGAUGUAGUUCUGUGUCACAUUGGAUAACUUUGGCUUAAACAGUUUACUGCUGUUUCUGUGUUCUUGAGAAAGAUCGCUUACAGUUUGUGUUUUCCGAAGAUAACCCUGAGUUUGUACUAAGAACAACUGAGAUGCAUGCUCUGCACUGUAAAAGGUUAUAAGAUGACUCUACACUACCUCAUUUUUCUGGCAUCAAACGGGUGUGUUUGUUAAAUACAAUUUAAAGACAAUUUUGCUGUGGAUCAACAUUUUAGGAGGUGUCGCUCAACUAGAGGUAAAACUUGUUCUGCAGUACAUUCAGCAUCAUUUUUUGAGUGCUGAUGAUCUUGCUGGUAGAAUACAUGCUUUUGAUUAUGGUUACAAUCAGCAGAGGAACCGUCCUUCAAUGGUCAAAUUGUUCGGUGGAAGCAAUGAUUUGGGUUUAACUGCCAUUCAGUCAUGGUGCUUUUUGCGCAACAUGCCUCUGUUAUUUAGUGAUUUAGUGCACCAAUAACACUGGUAUCUUUUGCUUUUACUUCUACAGCUUGUUAACACCGUAUUUUCACCAGCCCUAACUGAAGGGCUUUACCAUUUAUCUUAAACAUUUAAUAAUUGAACCAGCCAUUCAAAAAAUUCUUUCCAGAAAGAAAUCUGUUGCCAAAGCAUCACAUGAUGAUACAUUAUCCACAGUGUAAAAGAAAAAUGCACAUGUGGUUUAUGUGUUACGAAGGUAAACACAAAUUCUUUAAAACACAAUUAAAAGCUUAAAAAAACAUCACCGAAAUGCACCAGAGUUGUAUGGCAAUGCACUGGGAUUCUUUUAGUCUGUACAGAUUGACUCUUGGUCCAGGGAAGAUGGUGGAACUCAGGGGACUUAAAGGGGGCAUUGACAUGGCUUCCAAACUAGGAGUGGAAAUAUCAGAACUUGUCUAUUCUGUAAAGUGGAUCAAACAUCAUGGUACAGAGCAUCACCCUGACUUUAUUAUCUGUACAGAAGUAGCAUGUGAGAUGCCAGCGUUUUUAUAAGAUCAAGGCUAUUGCUGUGAAAGAUGAAAAUGUACUGUUAUGUGGAACACUGAUGGAAACACUGUUUUGAUUACCAUUACCAUGCAUUUACAGACUGCAUCCAGACUGAGUUUUAAAGGUAGUGAAUGUUAACGAGCUGUGUUAUUUCAAACAAUUUGAUGUUCAAAUGAAAUAUGGUGCACCAGAUUCUGCACUGCAUAUAGUGCUUUAUUGCCAUUUUUUGAAGAUGAGAUGUUUUUUUGUGCAUGUAUUUAAGCAUGACAUUGUUUUAAUAAAUGUUUUAAAUGGUAAUUUGAUUAUGUUUUUUUGUUCUGUUUUAUUCAAUGUAAAAAAAAACAACCUCUAAUUUGACUUUUGUAGCAGAGAAAAUUAGUCA
Molecule: long non-coding RNA, 3011 nt
Organism: Silurus meridionalis
Lineage: Eukaryota; Metazoa; Chordata; Actinopteri; Siluriformes; Siluridae
Exons: 4
Source: RefSeq, a predicted model, not a curated record